AAAUUAAGAUUUUACCAAGCUAUUUACCGCGGUAAUAUUUACCCUCCUCCAAGAGGUGGGUAAAUUGAUUUACCGUCUCAGUUACCAGAAUCAAGAUGGCCGACCAGACAUAAACAAACGCUCGAUUCACAACUCAUUUUGUCGAUUUUAAAGACAAACUGAAACUUCGUGCUUAGAAAACUGUUCCAUUACGUCCAUAUCAAUAGAAGACAGGAAUACAGAGGCUUUUCAUCAGCGAAAGCCAGCAGAGCCAGUGUGAUGAUAGAACAUAUAACAGGCACAUGAUUAAAGACACCAAGAGCAGUGAGAUUGCUACCAGUGGAAGACCAAGGUUAUAUGACAAAUGUGCCGUCAAGAAAACAUCACAACAUGAACUUCAUGGAGUCGCUAGUGAAUUAUAUGCUGUUUAACAUUGCUGAUUCUGGUUAUUGGUAUAUACAUAAGAAUCGACUUUGAUUUUGAAUUUAAGACCAUUUAUAGUUAAAUGAAAAUAGAAAAUAAAUGUUACAC
Mya arenaria is the source of this 510-nucleotide long non-coding RNA. RefSeq lists it as uncharacterized. NCBI's taxonomy places the organism in Eukaryota, Metazoa, Mollusca, Bivalvia, Myida, Myidae. The transcript has 3 exons. The record is from RefSeq and is a predicted model, not a curated record.